RNAcentral lists this ribosomal RNA (278 nucleotides) under uncultured Prevotellaceae bacterium. Its description in RNAcentral is "partial 16S ribosomal RNA". It matches the Rfam family "Bacterial small subunit ribosomal RNA", at positions 511 to 788 of the family's 1533-position model. Lineage: Bacteria; Pseudomonadati; Bacteroidota; Bacteroidia; Bacteroidales; Prevotellaceae. The record is from RNAcentral.
GCAGCCGCGGUAAUACGUAGGUGGCGAGCGUUAUCCGGAUUUACUGGGUGUAAAGGGUGAGUAGGCGGGUCUGCAAGUCAGAUGUGAAAACUUGGAGCUUAACUCCAAGCCUGCAUUUGAAACUGUGGAUCUUGAGAGUCGGAGAGGUAAUCGGAAUUCCCGGUGUAGCGGUGAAAUGCGUAGAUAUCGGGAGGAACAUCAGUGGCGAAGGCGGAUUACUGGACGACAACUGACGCUGAGACACGAAAGCGUGGGGAGCAAACAGGAUUAGAUACCCC